GGAAUAUUGGACAAUGGGCGAAAGCCUGAUCCAGCAAUGCCGCGUGAGUGAUGAAGGCCUUAGGGUUGUAAAGCUCUUUUACCCGAGAUGAUAAUGACAGUAGCGGGAGAAUAAGCUCCGGCUAACUCCGUGCACGCAGCCGCGGUAAUACGGAGGGAGCUAUCGUUGUUCGGCAUUACUGGGCGUAAAGCGCACGUAGGCGGCUUAUUAAGUCAGGGGUGAAAUCCCGGGGCUCAACCCCGGAACUGCCUUUGAACCUGCUAAGCUAGAAUCCUGGAGAGGCGAGUGGAAUUCCGAGUGUAGAGGUGAAAUUCGUAGAUAUUCGGAAGAACACCAGUGGCGAAGGCGACUCGCUGGACAGGUAUUGACGCUGAGGUGCGAAAGCGUGGGGAGCAAAC
This 398-nucleotide ribosomal RNA is filed under the name uncultured bacterium. RNAcentral's name for it is "bacterial SSU rRNA". It matches the Rfam family "Bacterial small subunit ribosomal RNA", at positions 358 to 773 of the family's 1533-position model. The record is from RNAcentral.